AUGAAGAUGGACAGCGAUUUCCAUAUGGCCAAGGGAGAAGGAGAGACCAGCUAUGUCAAGAACUCUACCCAUCAGAAGAAAGCUUUGAUUCGGACUAAGCCGGUGCUCGAAAAGGCGGUGAUAGAAGUGUGCAUGGAUUUGCUCCACCCAACAAUGACAGUUGUUGACCUAGGCUGCUCUUUAGGUGAAAACACACUCAUCUUUGUCUCCAACGUGAUCGAAGCAAUAUGCUGCAAUCAUGGCAAGCUUCGUGGCAACCUCGUGGAGCUCCAAGUCUUCCUCAAUGAUCUACCAGGAAACGACUUCAACCGUGUGUUCCAGUCACUUGAGCAGUUCAAGGAGUCAAUUACAGUAACUCAUAAGCUAGAAGCACCGCCACCUUUUUAUAUUGCCGGGCUACCGGGCUCCUUCUACACCAAGCUUUUUCCUCGUCACAGUGUUCAUCUGUUUCACUCAUCAUAUUGCCUUCAUUGGCGCUCUGAGCUCCCGGAUGGAUUUGCGGCCAAGAGAGAAAUGUAUCUAAACAAAGGAAACAUUUAUAUUGCGAGGACUACACCACCAUCUGUAGUUAAAUUAUACCAGGAGCAUUUUGAGAAGGAUAUGUCGUUGUUCCUCAAGCUACGAUAUGAAGAACUGGUGCUCGGCGGACAAAUGGUACUGACAUUUCUUGGGAGAAAAACAGAGGACGUCUACAAUGGAGAUAUGAACCAGCUCUAUGGAUUAAUUGCACAAUCUUUGGAAUAUCUUGUUGAAGAGGGCCUCCUAGAGAGGGGAAAACUCAACUCCUUUAACCUACCCUUUUAUGGUCCAUCACUAACUGAAGUCAAGAUGGUGAUCAAGCAAAGUGGACUAUUCGACAUAAAUCACGUCGAAUUGUUCGAAUCCAACUGGGAUCCUUGCGACAACUCGGAAAGCAAUGAAGUGCACGACCCCCUCCGAAGCGGCAUGAAUGUGUCCAAGAGUUUGAGGGCAGUGAUGGAGCCCCUUUUUACAAGCCAUUUUGGUGAAUCUGUGCUCGACAUACUCUUCGAAAAAUUCGCGUACAAUGUCACGGAACACCUUGCGAGGGAGAAGACAAAAUAUUCCAUCAUUGUUCUGUCCUUGAAAAGAAAAUAA
This 1116-nucleotide ribosomal RNA is filed under the name Triticum aestivum (bread wheat). Its description in RNAcentral is "partial small subunit ribosomal RNA". Lineage: Eukaryota; Viridiplantae; Streptophyta; Magnoliopsida; Poales; Poaceae. The record is from RNAcentral.